RNAcentral lists this ribosomal RNA (117 nucleotides) under SAR202 cluster bacterium Io17-Chloro-G2. The record is from RNAcentral. Lineage: Bacteria; Bacillati; Chloroflexota; Dehalococcoidia.
CCUGGUGGUUCUAGCGGGGUGGCCCCACCCGUUCCCAUCCCGAACACGGUAGUGAAACGCUCCAGCGCCGACGAUACUGCUUUGGAAACGGAGUGGGAAAAUAGGUCACCGCCGGGA